Molecule: ribosomal RNA, 219 nt
Filed under: uncultured bacterium
Lineage: Bacteria
Description: partial 16S ribosomal RNA
Rfam family: Bacterial small subunit ribosomal RNA
Source: RNAcentral
GAUCAUGGCUCAGGACGAACGCCGGCGGCGUGCUUAACACAUGCAAGUCGAACGAGAAUCUGUGGAACGAGGAUUCGUCCAAGUGAAGCAGAGGACAGUGGCGGACGGGUGAGUAACGCGUGAGGAACCUGCCUUUCAGAGGGGGACAACAGUUGGAAACGACUGCUAAUACCGCAUGACACAUUGAAGUCGCAUGGCUUUAAUGUCAAAGAUUUAUCG